CAGCCGCCGCGGUAAUACGUAGGUCCCGAGCGUUGUCCGGAUUUAUUGGGCGUAAAGCGAGCGCAGGCGGUUUGAUAAGUCUGGAGUUAAAGGCUGUGGCUCAACCAUAGUUCGCUUUGGAAACUGUCAAACUUGAGUGCAGAAGGGGAGAGUGGAAUUCCAUGUGUAGCGGUGAAAUGCGUAGAUAUAUGGAGGAACACCGGUGGCGAAAGCGGCUCUCUGGUCUGUAACUGACGCUGAGGCUCGAAAGCGUGGGGAGCGAACAGGAUUAGAUACCCGGGUAGUCCCUGUCUCUUAUACA
Molecule: ribosomal RNA, 301 nt
Filed under: uncultured bacterium
Lineage: Bacteria
Description: partial 16S ribosomal RNA
Rfam family: Bacterial small subunit ribosomal RNA
Source: RNAcentral